GGAUGAAUAUUGGUCAAUGGACGAGAGUCUGAACCAGCCAAGUAGCGUGCAGGAUGACGGCCCUAUGGGUUGUAAACUGCUUUUAUAAGGGAAUAAAGUGGGAGUCGUGACUCCUUUUGCAUGUACCUUAUGAAUAAGGACCGGCUAAUUCCGUGCCAGCAGCCGCGGUAAUACGGAAGGUCCGGGCGUUAUCCGGAUUUAUUGGGUUUAAAGGGAGCGUAGGCCGGAGAUUAAGCGUGUUGUGAAAUGUAGAUGCUCAACAUCUGCACUGCAGCGCGAACUGGUUUCCUUGAGUACGCACAAAGUGGGCGGAAUUCGUGGUGUAGCGGUGAAAUGCUUAGAUAUCACGAAGAACUCCGAUUGCGAAGGCAGCUCACUGGAGCGCAACUGACGCUGAAGCUCGAAAGUGC
Molecule: ribosomal RNA, 410 nt
Filed under: uncultured Prevotella sp.
Lineage: Bacteria; Pseudomonadati; Bacteroidota; Bacteroidia; Bacteroidales; Prevotellaceae
Description: bacterial SSU rRNA
Rfam family: Bacterial small subunit ribosomal RNA
Source: RNAcentral